UCUCCGUUGGUGAACCAGCGGAGGGAUCAUUAAAGAGUUGCAAAACUCCCUUCAUACCAUCGCGAACGUUACCUAAUUCUCGUUGCUUCGGCGGGAAGGCAUUCCCCUUUAAGCCUCCCCUAACCGGGGGCUCCCGCCGGAGGAACGCAGCUAUACUCUUGUAUUUAUUGGCCUCUCUGAGUACGAUUUAUGCAAAUAAGUCAAAACUUUCAACAACGGAUCUCUUGGUUCUG
This 233-nucleotide unclassified non-coding RNA is filed under the name soil metagenome. RNAcentral describes it as "partial contains small subunit ribosomal RNA, internal transcribed spacer 1, and 5.8S ribosomal RNA". The record is from RNAcentral.